Molecule: long non-coding RNA, 367 nt
Filed under: Bos taurus (domestic cattle)
Lineage: Eukaryota; Metazoa; Chordata; Mammalia; Artiodactyla; Bovidae
Description: long non-coding RNA NONBTAT023297
Source: RNAcentral
GCUGAGUUCUUCUGACUCUUUCUGACCGUAAUCCUUGACUCUCCUGUUUCUCUGCUGUCCCUCCUGUGCCUGUAUUACCUGGCUUGAUACCCUACCUCCUUUCUGUUCUCAGGGAGUGGUCACUAGUCCAGCCUUCUCUAGUCUAGCCACUCUUGAGGGAUGUGCACAGACUUUGCUUCAGCAAAAGCUGAAGGCUUAACUGAGGCUGAGGUCAGUGUGUGGACAUCUGCUGGUGCAGAGGUGAAGGGAGAAUGCUUAGAUGCCAGGAGGUCUCUGUCUCACCUCCCCAGUCCUCUCUCUAGAGUGUGCAUGCUUGCAUCCAUACACAGCACGUAUCACACCCUUUUGUAGUUGGCUCAUGAGGGCA